RNAcentral lists this RNase P RNA (403 nucleotides) under Spirochaetaceae bacterium. RNAcentral describes it as "RNase P RNA component class A". It matches the Rfam family "Bacterial RNase P class A". From Rfam's summary of the family: Ribonuclease P (RNase P) is a ubiquitous endoribonuclease, found in archaea, bacteria and eukarya as well as chloroplasts and mitochondria. The record is from RNAcentral. Lineage: Bacteria; Pseudomonadati; Spirochaetota; Spirochaetia; Spirochaetales; Spirochaetaceae.
UGCGAUGAACCGCCGCCGCGUUGUUGCGGCGCUGCCGCGGCAACGAGGAAAGUCCGGGCUCCGCAGGGCAUGAUGCCGGCUAACGGCCGGGGACGCAAUGCCGGACACAUUGAUGUUUGGUAUUGCGUUACAGACAGCGCAACAGAAAGUAUACCGCCAUGUUUCCGCUACGGCGGCCGCAUGGUAAGGGUGAAAUGGCGGGGUAAGAGCCCGCCGCGGAAUCGGUAACGAUUCCGGCACGGCAAGCCUCAUCAGGAGCAAAGCUAAACAGCGCUUGGGUUGUCCCGCCCAGUAAGCGCGGGUAGGCUGCAUGGAAGCCGCCGGUAACGGCGGCCCAAGACAGAUGGCGGCGCCUUUCUAAAACUAGAAGGAACAGAAUCCGGCUUACGGUUCAUCGCUUUUU